Molecule: RNase P RNA, 389 nt
Filed under: Sphingopyxis indica
Lineage: Bacteria; Pseudomonadati; Pseudomonadota; Alphaproteobacteria; Sphingomonadales; Sphingopyxidaceae
Description: Sphingopyxis sp. DS15 Bacterial RNase P class A
Rfam family: Bacterial RNase P class A
About the family: Ribonuclease P (RNase P) is a ubiquitous endoribonuclease, found in archaea, bacteria and eukarya as well as chloroplasts and mitochondria. Its best characterised activity is the generation of mature 5'-ends of tRNAs by cleaving the 5'-leader elements of precursor-tRNAs.
Source: Rfam by way of RNAcentral
CCAGAGGGUCGGGCGAUCGCCGCCGCGCGUCAGCGCGGGGGAGGAAAGUCCGGGCUCCACGGAAACCACGGUGCCGGAUAACGUCCGGCGGCUUCGGGCAACCGGAGUCAGGGAAAGUGCCACAGAGAGAAGACCGCCAAAGGCUUCGGCCCGGCGAAAGGUGAAAGGGUGCGGUAAGAGCGCACCGCGCGGACGGUAACGGACGCGGCACGGCAAACCCCACCGGGAGCAAGGUCGAAUAGGGAUGGCAUGGGGUGACCCAGGGCUGGUUCCGGCCCCGCCGUCCGGGUUGACUGCUUGAGCGUCCGGGCAACCGGCCGCCUAGAGGAAUGAUCGCCCAUCCCCGGAAACGGGGUGGACAGAACCCGGCUUACAGACCCUCUGGCCAU